UCAGAGAGUCCCUGGACAAAAUCCUGCAGAAUGAGAGCGGCAUAGCUCCAAACUGCAGAGAAGAAGAUUAUGUUAAACUUUAUGUGGACACUAUCCAGUGUAUUAAUGCCGUACCAAGAGAAGCACAAAAACUCCUUCCAGAACUGCACGAUGAAGUGCAAGAAAUUUGUUUCCGAGAGUUUCGAACAUUUGUCAAGAGGUACAGUGAAGAGCAGUAUGGGGAUCUUAAAAAAAGGGCACAAACUGACAACCCAGAAACAAUACACUUCCUCAAAACACUGAAAACAU
Molecule: non-coding RNA, 288 nt
Organism: Neolamprologus brichardi
Lineage: Eukaryota; Metazoa; Chordata; Actinopteri; Cichliformes; Cichlidae
Source: RefSeq, a predicted model, not a curated record